This 468-nucleotide ribosomal RNA is filed under the name uncultured bacterium. RNAcentral's name for it is "partial 16S ribosomal RNA". It matches the Rfam family "Bacterial small subunit ribosomal RNA", at positions 28 to 507 of the family's 1533-position model. The record is from RNAcentral.
GACGAACGCUGGCGGCGUGCUUAACACAUGCAAGUCGAACGGAAAGGCCCUGCUUUUGUGGGGUGCUCGAGUGGCGAACGGGUGAGUAACACGUGAGUAACCUGCCCUUGACUUUGGGAUAACUUCAGGAAACUUGGGCUAAUACCUGAUAGGAUCUCCUGCUGCAUGGUGGGGGUUGGAAAGUUUCGGCUGUUGGGGAUGGACUCGCGGCUUAUCAGCUUGUUUGUGGGGUAGUGGCUUACCAAGGAUUUGACGGGUAGCCUGCCUGAGAGGGUGACCGGCGACAUGGGGACUGAGAUACGGCCCAGAAUGCUACGGGAGGCAGCAGUGGGGAAUAUUGCAGAAUGGGCGGAAGCAUGAUGAAGAAACGCCGCGUGCGGGAUGACGGCCUUCGGGUUGUAAACAGAUUUAGACUGUGACGAAGAGAGAGUGACGGUAAUGGGUAAAGAAGCACCGGCUAACUACGUG